GGAGGGUACAGCUUAGUGGUAGAGUACAUGCCUAGCAUACACAAGGUCCUGGGUUCAAUCCCCAGAACUUCCA
Molecule: non-coding RNA, 73 nt
Organism: Camelus ferus (Wild Bactrian camel)
Lineage: Eukaryota; Metazoa; Chordata; Mammalia; Artiodactyla; Camelidae
Source: Rfam